GUUUGUGUGUGUGUGUUUCUCUGUGUGUGUUUUGUUUGUUUUUGUUUACAGUCGUUAUCACCAUGACGAUAAGAACACGAGGCCUUUUGGAGAUGAACUCUGAGAACUUUAUAACCAAAGACAGAAAAUAAAGACAACAUUUAACAGUCA
Sander lucioperca (pikeperch) is the source of this 150-nucleotide long non-coding RNA. RefSeq lists it as uncharacterized. The transcript is spliced from 2 exons. The record is from RefSeq and is a predicted model, not a curated record. Lineage: Eukaryota; Metazoa; Chordata; Actinopteri; Perciformes; Percidae.